GGAAGUAAAAGUCGUAACAAGGUCUCCGUAGGUGAACCUGCGGAGGGAUCAUUACACAAAUAUGAAGGCGGGCUGGAACCUCUCGGGGUUACAGCCUUGCUGAAUUAUUCACCCUUGUCUUUUGCGUACUUCUUGUUUCCUUGGUGGGUUCGCCCACCACUAGGACAAACAUAAACCUUUUGUAAUUGCAAUCAGCGUCAGUAACAAAUUAAUAAUUACAACUUUCAACAACGGAUCUCUUGGUUCUGGCAUCGAUGAAGAACGCAGCGAAAUGCGAUAAGUAGUGUGAAUUGCAGAAUUCAGUGAAUCAUCGAAUCUUUGAACGCACAUUGCGCCCUUUGGUAUUCCAAAGGGCAUGCCUGUUCGAGCGUCAUUUGUACCCUCAAGCUUUGCUUGGUGUUGGGCGUCUUGUCUCUAGCUUUGCUGGAGACUCGCCUUAAAGUAAUUGGCAGCCGGCCUACUGGUUUCGGAGCGCAGCACAAGUCGCACUCUCUAUCAGCAAAGGUCUAGCAUCCAUUAAGCCUUUUUUUCAACUUUUGACCUCGGAUCAGGUAGGGAUACCCGCUGAACUUAAGCAUAUCAAUAAGCGGAGGAA
This 595-nucleotide ribosomal RNA is filed under the name Alternaria alternata. RNAcentral describes it as "eukaryotic LSU rRNA". The stretch from base 220 to 373 matches the Rfam family "5.8S ribosomal RNA". The record is from RNAcentral. Lineage: Eukaryota; Fungi; Ascomycota; Dothideomycetes; Pleosporales; Pleosporaceae. RNAcentral also lists the same sequence under 1 other name.